This 41670-nucleotide long non-coding RNA is filed under the name Phoenix dactylifera (date palm). RNAcentral's name for it is "long non-coding RNA (PDAC_LNC003808)". Lineage: Eukaryota; Viridiplantae; Streptophyta; Magnoliopsida; Arecales; Arecaceae. The record is from RNAcentral.
AAUAAAUUUGCUUAAGGGCUUUCUACGCACCCAUACAUGUAUUUUGUACGUUUUUUCCAACUUGAAUAAUAGCAUUUUGGUCCGAAUAAUUGAAGUCAAUUUUGAUUUUGGGUGUAAGCUUAGUUGCUAAUGAAUGCAGAUGAAAUUUAUUUAAAACAAUCUAAACACGCUACAUUUUUUUCUUACAAAAAUUAUUUUUUAUUAUUUUUAGUGAUUAAUUUAUCUUGGUAAAUAUUAUAAUUUUAUAAAAAUAGGGUAUAUAUAAAGAUAAAAAUUACAAUGUUUUUACCUUCAUCCUUGCCCUACAUUAUAUCAUAAUUUCAUGCCAAAUAAAAAAAAUUGGCAUGAUCUCUUCAGUUUUCCUUUAUUUUGGUCAAAUUAAUGGCAAAAAAUUAUUUUUUAAUUUUUAAAUUAUUAAUUUAUCUUGAAAAUAUUAUAAUUUUAUAAAAGUAAUAUAUUUAGAAAAUAAAAACUAUAGUCUUGGAGCUUGAUCCUUACCUUACAAUAUAUCAUAAUUUCAUGUCAAAAAAAAUGGCUUGAUUACCUCGGUUAUCCUUUAUUUUGGUCAGAUUAAUGAAAAAAAAAAUCAACUUAGCUGAAAGCUUCUCAAUGUUGAACUAACCAUGGUCAUUGAAAUCCCACAUCAUGAAGCUCUCCUUCCCUUCCUCUCUUUCUCUCGGUUAGUCAACUUAGCCUUCAGUUCUAGCCACUAGGGUGAUGCUGUGAUGGGCAUCACAACAGCCAUUGAUGCCUAAAAAUGACAUCGAGACAUUAGGUGUGGGACUCGGUUCCACUUUUCCUUGGAAAAAAAUAAUCAAUGCACAAGGCUGAGAGGAGGCUCGUCACAGUUUAACCAAGGACUCGGGCUUCAGGAGGCCAAAGCUAGAAGAGUCAGGGGGGAUCCAUCUCAUGAGACCCUUGAGCUUGAGGGAAGUAUCAUGGCUCCAGUAUAGAUUACCACUAAUAACACCAAGACCACUACAGGCUGGAGCGAGGGAUUCAGGUCCCACUCUUAUCCUAGGUCCUGCUUUCUCACAAGAACAAAUCAGGAUGGCCGGGACACCCCCCUAUCUGAUUUUUAAGUCAUUGCUUUCUUUAAAUUGUUCCGAUUUGCUCCUCCUAAUUUUUAAAAACCCUGAAUUCUCCGUGUUUAAAGCAGGAACUUCAUUAUAUCUCCAUUAUUUUUUGCUGUGGCUGCCAACUUCCUGCAUAUAGCAUCCUCUUGACCUUUAUUUACAUUUAUUUCAUUGCAUGGUUAGUUGUUCCAUCAUUAUUUAUAUAUUUUUUGUUUUUUUCUGGUGGUGUAGCGCAACUAUGAUGUGUCUCUCCCCCACAACAAGAUACCAGAUGCACUCUGUCUGCUUGCUAAAAAAAUGGCUGUACCUGCCAUGUCAUCAAGGGAAGAGUUUCAGCCAGAAGCUGCAAUAGUAAACUAUUUUGGUCCAAGUAUGCCAGUAAUAUAACUGAGAUCUUGUGCUUAUGCUAGCUGCUGUAAUCUGCAAGUACAGUAUAUAUUGGUAUCAAAAUGAAAAUAGCAUCAUCUAUGAGUUCGUGAACCAAAGGUCAUUUUUUUCUUCAAUUUGCAGGUGAUAUGCUUGGUGGUCACCUUGAUGACAUGGAAGCAGAUUGGAGUAAGCCUAUAGUGAGCAUAAGGUGUUGCCAUUUUUAAUUUGCUCAUGCUAAUAAGCUUUUAAUACCAUGCUCCAAGAAUAGCUUAUUUGUAUACCUUCUUUUGUAGCCUGGGCUGCAAAGCUAUCUUUCUCCUGGGAGGAAAAUCUAGAGAGGAUAACCCAAUAGCCAUGUUCCUGCGCAGUGGCGACAUUGUGCUUAUGGCUGGGCAAGCAAGGGAAUGCUUCCACGGUCAGUUGGUGUUUCAUUCAAACUAUUGUUUCAUUUUUGUUUACUUCUCUUUCUUUGAAUUAUUAUGAAAGUCUUGUUAUUUCAAAUUGUGCAGCCUCAGGACUUGGAUAAACUCUCUAGCAGUAUAUUAGCUUUGAGUAAUGUUUUUAUAAAAAUGAAAUCAUGAAGUUUGCAAUUGAUUGUGUUAGUCACUUGGCCAAUCUGUCCUGCCAAAUAAAGAUGUGUGGCAAGAACCAUGCUAAAGCUAAGAGACUACUGUUUGUGAUAGUUAAAUGGAUAGUUCUUGUCCUUUUCUAUUUACUUCAACAUGUUGUUGAAGUUUGUGAACCAUCUUGUGCUAUUUUCUGAUGAUAUGAGAAAAAUUUCACACCAAUUCAUAUAAACGUUAUUUAGCAUAGUACAUGCCUUUAACAAGAUAUAGGCCCAUUGUGAUUUUUUCUCCAUACUGAGAGAGACAAUUGAAGUGCAUCUCACAAAAUUGAAGUGUAUGUAUUACUCCUCGCUACCAAGUCCUGAAACUGAGGGAAAAAUUGGACCUGAGAGAAGAGGCAGCACUCCUGGAUGGAUGUGGAGUUGCAGAGAAUUGUGCCAAAUUGAAAUGUGUAUAAAAGUUCUCGUUCCCAAAUCAUUAGGCUGAAAACAAAUUUGGAAAACAAAGGGAGAAGCAGAAAACCUGGAUGAACUUGGAUUACACUGUAUAUUAUAUUUACUAGUAGCUGAAGCUAAAAAGAUUGUUUUCUCUGUUGUCUCUUCUCUUGCAUUCAUCUCACACUGUAGUUAAUUAAUAGCAAAAAAAUUAAGAAGAUUGUUUUCUCGGUCGGCUCAUAUCUUGCAAUAAUCUAUCACUGUAGUUUGUAUUUAAUAGUAGAAAAAAUUAAUUAGAUUGUUUUCUCGGUUGUCCCCCAUCUUGCAUUGGUUUCACAGAUUUAAUGAACCUUCAAACUGCAAUGACUUCUCCUAGAAAUGAAAAUUUCAAAAAUUCCAUCACUGAUAGAUAUGUUCUUUUAACAGCAUAUGGUUGUUUGACAUUUUCAUGGCCACAGUUCUUGUUGGCCAAUAGAAAUGUAAAGGUGGUAGAACCCUCAUAUAUUGCACCUUGUGCUGCAUACCUGCAGCAGCCGCGGUCUGAACAUCAUGACUUGUCUUGGGAGUGGAUUCCAGAACUCACUGCAUUCCAGGAACUGGCUCAGGCAUAGAGAGAACCCAUGUUGUCUCUUUAGAAUAUGCUUGUCCGAUUGCUAGUUUUAUGCUGGUGUUUGUGGUAUUUUUCCUGCAAUGCUGGAUUUCAUUCUUAAAAAGAUUAUAAGGCAGGGAAUCUCUAAAAGGAAAGGAGACUAGUAUUCCCUCAGGCCCCAAUCAUAACUGUAUUGCUUUCUGUUGAACAACUAAGAAAUGUAUCUCAAUAACCAACCCUAUUUUUGUGUCUCUUUUCUAAGCUGUGGUAGGCUUUGAUGCAAACUAUGACAGAAUAAAAUUGUAAACAUAAAUUCGAAGAGGCUAUGGACCACAUUACUAAGCGCUGCUUUAAUUCAUUAUUAUUUUUCACUCAUGUAAUAAACUACCUCCUUGGCUUCUGUUUUGGCAGGAGUACCACGAAUCUUCACAGGUGAUGAACAUGCAGAUGUUGCUACUCUCUUGUCACAUUUUUCUGACAAAGAUAACUGCUGCUUCAUGGAUUACAUCAGAUAUUCAAGAAUAAAUAUCAACAUCAGACAGGUCAAUUAGAUUCAGUUAUUGUGAUUCCUACAUUAGAACAUUCAACUAUUUCCAUCAUUAGGCAAUAUACCAAUUUGAGUGUUAGAUAGAGUUGUUUAACUUCUUCUUGAAAAUGGGAAGAAGAAAGUGGUGAAGAAAUUGGGAUAGGAGAGAAGAGAAUAUUUGUCCUUUUUACGACUUGCCCAUGCCUUUCAAUUUGGGGAUAUGAACUUGGAACAGUUAAUUGGGAGAAUAAUGAGAUCAUGAUCAUUAACCAGGAAACAAGAAAAGAGCCUGGGGCAGAAAUCUUGUAAGAGUUGUACUAUGGCCGAAACCGUUGCCGACAAGCCUGGCAGGUGAUCUCCAUGCAAGUGGAAUUGAUCCUUCUGGUGGCCACCUCCUUCAUCCUCUCCACCUUCUCCACCUCCUCUCGGGCUCGCUCCCACACCAGCCUAGCUCGUGUGAACUCUUUCUCUGCCAGCUCCAGCUCUCUUCUUGUCAGCUCCCUCACUCGCUCAGCGUAAGCCUCGUCUACAGCAGCAAGUCGGAUCUGUUCUGCAGUUUGUUGCUUCAGUGCUUGCGCGUCUCUCAUGUUGCUCUUAGCCUCCUCAUUUGAGGGCGGUCUCCGUGGUCCAACGCACAUCGAUAGGCUUAGGUCAAGCGGUGGAUGAUCAGAAGGGUCGGUUAUCACUGGAAACUUCGAUGCCUCGCAGGGAACAUGAGCCGAGGAGGGUGCAGGGAGUAGUAGCUUUAGUUCUCUCACAUCAUCUUCUUCCAUGGAAGGAGACUUACAGGGGAAUAUUGAACAAAGAUGGUGAGUGGCUGCAAGGGUUGGUGACGUUUAGUCUUUAUAUAACUGUUUUCCUGAUUAGCUAAUUUACCAGCAUGCCCAUGCUAUCAGGGGGUGUCCUUUGCACCUUAAAAAUCUAGCUACUCUUUGUUCUUGUGAUAGAGUCUCUGUCAAUUUUGUGCACUUACAAGUUACAAUGCAUGUGGGUUUCAAUUCUUCCAUUUGGUCGAGUAGACCGGUCGAUUCAAAUAUUUUUUGACCAAGAGCUCCUAUCAGCCCUCUGUUCUCUCAUCCCUUUUUUUUUCUGAAAUAUAUUUCAGCUUAAUCCAAUUACACAUUUCUUCUUGUGGGGUGUUUAAACUUGGCCCCAGGAUGUGGUUGGUUCAUUCUGGCUUGGAUAGGACUAGUCCAUUUUGAAUCCCUCGCUGAUUAGAUCUAUUGGCAGCGAGGGCAGGCUCCCUUUUCUUGCUGCCUUUGUUUCCACGUUCCUAGCUUGGGCCUUUUUGGGUUGGCAAAUGGUAGAGGGUGCAAUAAUUGCAAUGGCACUUGUGUGAGUUGGUGUUGUUUCAUAGGAGUCUCCUCUGUCGGUAGGCCUAGGUUGUCGGCCCCGUACAGAUAAACCUAACAUUUUAGUUUGGUGGGAUCAACUACUUUGAAUCCCUUUUUUUUUUUACCAAUAGCCAAUCUAUGGCACUCUUCGAGACAGAUCUGUGGUACUGUUUGUCAUGGAAUCUUUUUGGGUUUCAGAAGUAAUAUCCCAAAGAGAGGAACAAGUCUAUUUCUACAAGAUGUUCAUCCUUGAUCAAUUUCUCAAAAUUGGUGUUUGUUUGAACCAAGAUACAUAUUUUAGAAUGUAUUCAAUUCAGUCUGUCCAUUUAGUAUCAAAUAUUUGGUACUUGUCGGAAUAGAUUCCUAGAUAUAUCGCAUUUGCAUCAUGCAUUUGUUUUGCAAUGCUUUGGCAAGCUCUAAACUAAUUGUUUGCAUUAAUUUUUUUCACAAUGGAUUAAAGUUUAUAUCUAACACUAAUCAGGACAUCGCAUAUCAGUCGGUCCCAUCCUCUUUUUUCAGAGUUUUGAGGUUGGAGUCCUUGAUGUGGAUAACUCAUUGAGUUGGCAAAGGAUGCAGGUUUGGCGUGGUUUUGUGCCAAUAUGUUCAGCGUUGCUGCCCAUCUAUCACUUUCAUAUAUAACCCUUUAAACUUGGAGGUAAAAUAAAUUAUAUGUGGUCCCACUAAUAUUAGAUGCAUUUUUUGAAUAUCUACAGUAGAUUUUCACUAGUAUACAAGCAUUCCUAAAUUUUUGUUCUAUGUGGUGUUACCAUAAAUUAUCUUCUCCUGAAACCUAUGUUAGAUGAUGGAUGUACCAUAAACCAAAAGCAAUUAAAGUCAGGUUAAAUAUUAUCUUCUUUUUUUCUUUUUUUUUUCUUUUUUUUUUGUAGAGAGAGAGAGAGGAGGGAGUGGNNNNNNNNNNNNNNNNNNNNGGCGAACCACACCUAAGUUAAAGGGAAGUUCAAGUAUUAUUUUAUCAUUCACAUAAAAUAUCUUUUUCUUGAUCCAUCUCAUAGUGGACAGGAGAUCAAUAAGUCUAAACAAAUCCCAACAGUCCUCAGCAGAAGCAGGCUUUCAGAGGAGUACUGUAAAGGAGACUGAAGAUAGUGAUUGGCCUGAGCACUGAAAUCAAGACUCCCAAUCACAGCUCGAGUUUGUCCACAAGAGCAUUAACUUAGUGCAAAAAACCAUGUGAGGUGACCCUAAUCACCACUGCUUUGCAAAACAAUCUGCUACCAUGAAAUCAUCACGUCACAUCUACAAGAGAAAAGCUGCCAUGUUUCCCUACCUGCCCCCUGGCAUCUCCUUGCCUGCAUCCAAUAUCUUCAUAGGUUGGUGGCUGGUUAAUUUUUUUCAUUGGAAAUCCUUUUGGAUCCAAGGAGACACAAAGCAUGUGUGAAGAGAGGUGUUCCACCAUUUAGCUCAGCUUUUGGCUGAUGCUCUCGGCCACAAACCACAAGUCCUGUGCCUGUGAUGUGAAUGGGGUGGAUAACUUGCACUCUCUUUAGACACUGAUUUAUAUAUCAUUGUCUCCCACCAUUGCAGAGGAGCACCCACCAGAGAUCUUUGGUCCCCAUCAGCUUAGCCUUAAAAGUGAAGGCCUGGUCAUGCUUCAGCCCUGCAAGAACCUGUUAGCUAAAACAGCAGUACACGACCAUUUGGUAUACGUGUGAUACGACAGUCUUGAUCGAUAACCCACUGUUGAUCAAACAUCUUGCUCGACGACGAUGCAUCAGUGGCUAGUCAAUAGGGCUGAUUGGCUGGCUGCAUCCAUCUGAUCAUGGAUCACAUUUAGGUUUUGUGUCAUCAUGGAGACUGCUGACUGAUAUAAGUGGGGUUGCAUGGUGGGAUUCCUGGUGGACCACUGCUAUAUUACUGUGGUCCUGAGACAGGACUCAUGUCUUCAGCCAAACUCAGGAAGAGAGGGCUUUCCUUGAUGGAUUUGAUGUGCUACCAACCCUUAAGUAUAGAUUUAAUUAUGGAGGUGGAGUGAAUGAUUCCUUUGCUCAUGAGACCCAUGGGUUCCUGAUGGAUGAACUGUCAACCACAUGAUCAACAUGUCGUAUACUAGAGUGUUGCCAUGGAGACAGAAGCAGUGGUCCUUGCAAUCUGGAUCUAUGCACCCUUUUCUUCUCUCUUUUUUUUUUCCGAGAAAAAUGGUAUUCAAUAUGUACUGCACUUGGACACAACCUCGAUGACAAAUGGGGCUGGACCAGCAUUACAUCCAUGGUAAAAGAUAACUUCUUGGCUUGGGUUUAACCUUGGCAUAGGAAAAUCAUAAGAGUUGAAAGGAAUUUCGUGUGCUUCGAUUUAUAUGUUAGAUUACUGAAUCAAAUUUAUAACAUAAUUUCUACCAUAAAUGUGGAGGACAUCAAAUGAAGAAAACCAAUAAAUGUUCUCACAGUUACAUCACCAUAAUUUAUUAUAAUAUGAUAUGAGAAUUAAAAAAGUUGAUUCUAUUCGAGAUAUAUGUCUGCAGUGAAAAUAAUAUUUGGUAGAUACUAAGUAAAAAAAAUUACAGAUUUUUUUUCUCAAGAUUUAAUCACUUCUUUAAGAGCCAUGAAAAAUUAGCAAAUUUGUGAAAAAAAUUCAGAGAGAUACGUUACAUCAUCAUCCUCCCAUGCUUUUAGGGUGAGUGGGUGGGUGGUCUUAGUGUCUAUAGCAGUGCCCUACUGCAAAAAACAUGCAUGAUCCAGCCAAAUCUCCCAACAAAGAUCUCUGAUGGCGAGCCAUAUAAUGACCCAUGACCAGUAACAAUGACCUUUUUCAUUUUCUUGAAAGCCAAAAUUGGAUAACUAUCCCCAAUUGUUUUGCAUCAUCUAUAACCUUGAUGACAAUUGUUGUAUCCUAUACAAGUUAAGCCACUAAGCAUCGCUAACGCAGUCAGAUGCGCUGGCCAAUGUUUCUCAGUACAACCAACUUAAUUAACAUUCAAAAUAAUAAAAAAAUUAUCAGAAUGAAGCAGCUAAAUAAUCAUACCUCACAACCAUCCAAUCAAAGCAUGCGGUCAAAACUUAAAUAACCAAACAACUGAAUCUGGACAAGAAUCAAGAAUACAGGGGUAAGCUUUAGUCCAUGGCUCACCUAAAAGACAAGAGUAUACAAUGCGGUAAAAGAUUACAGCUAUGGAGAUAAAAAAACAUAUGUAUUUGAAUCACCAAACCGUUGAUUCUUCACACUAACAGCUACAAAAGGCCGAAGAGUAAAGACAAAAGAAACUGGAAGAAGCACGACCCCGAUGUCUUGGCAGAGGAUGAGGUAAUUCUACUAACCACCUCUUGAAUUUGAUCUGGUGCAAGAACUGCAGCACUACUAUCAAAAUUAGCACUCUCCAACUGUUUGUGCAGCUGCAUCAGGACAGAAUUGAAAGAAUCCAUCACUAAAGUCAAGCUUGUCUAAGGUACCAUAACGCAGGAGACAAGUGAGAAACAGGACCAAGCAAACAGAAGAUAUGUCCUACCUACCUUCACAAAUGGACCCAUCUUUAAAUUUCAAAUGCAGCAAUGUAAAACCCUGGGCAUAGGUCCACUCAAACCUCACAUUGCACGCUUGCACAUUCACGUGACGUGCGCGUGCGCACACAGAAGAGAGAGAGAGAGAGAGGAACAUACUUUUUCAAGGAUUGCAGAUUGCUCGUCUGGAUUAUACUUCCGGAUCUGCUUUAACAUCUCCAAUUGCUGCAAUGUGUUCAUUUACAACUGGAGUCAUUUCUUAAUUACAGAUCUUAGAUGACAGAACUGAUAUAUAAUCUACCUGCUCUUGCAGUUUUUGCUGAGUGAGCAUUUUUUCUGCAAACUCACUUGGCUCAAGCUCAGCCUCAUCAAUGGCCAUCUCUUCCCUGUUAUUAUUGACAUCAGAAUCUAUGAUGGUAUGCUUUCAGUUUAUAAUCACAUGCUUGCUUGGGUAAAAUAUGUAAGUCCAAAUAUGAUGGAUUGAUCAUGGAAUCAAAAUGGAAUCAAAUAUGCAACAACAAAUAGACGGGAUAAGGUCAGUAUUCUGGUUACAAGAACGUUCUAGUGCAGAAAAAACCUUGUGGCAAUUGCUUCGGAGAAGCUUAAGAGCAGCAAGGUCGUUCCUGUUUUCAUUUAUUCCAAUUGACACCAACUUCCAAUCUCAGAAAUAAUAUGAGUGUGCUUGGUUCUUAAGUGAAAUUUAAUUAGCAUUCUUGUAGACCAACAUGACAUCAUUGGAGACCCACAUUGCCCUCAUCUCCUACCUCCUCUCAUUCCAGAUAUCUGCUCAAGAUUGGAUUACCACACUCGAGUGGGCAUUCGAGGCAGUGGAGAUGCAGCAGAAUUCUGGGCCUAUUAGUUGGGCUAGGCUGAGCUGUUCAGCCCACUCGGACUUGGUUAGGUCUUGGCCCAUCUAGGCUAUGGGCCGAUCUCAGGUUCAGGCUUGGGUUGGGUCAGGCCAAAGUUUAGAAAAAAAUUUUGGGCCUAGGACUGGCCAGAAGCCCAAAAAUUUCUUUGGGCUGAAGCAGGCUAUAGGCAUACCAAACCCAGCUUGACCAGUACUACCUCUACUUAUUCUACUAUCAGAAAAGGAAACUGGAAAAAAUAUGCUCUCGUAUAAUAUUAUACAUAAUGUCAAAGGAUAGGGUAAACAUUACACAAGAAUGCAGAAUUGGACAAAUUGAGAAUAAAGUGAUGAAAGCUGAUGCAGCUGGCAUAAGUAAUGUGCAGAAAAGAUCUCAGACCUCAAUGAGAGAGGUACUUGGAUUUAUGCCAAAAUGUCGGAAAUAAGGAAAACAUAGGACAACAUGGGAAAGUGAGCCUUGAUGCAAUGGUAAGGCUGCUCUAUUGAGACCAGAAGAUCAAGAGUUUGAAAUACGGAAAUAGCAUCUCGGCACAUGGGGCAAGGCAGCAUACAUCUGACCCUCCCCAAACCCUGCAAUAGCGGGAGCCUUGUUCACUAAGCCCCCCCUUUUUGUAGGACAACAUGAAUGGAAGUUGUGGAAAAGAUUUUGAAAAAUUUUAUACUAAAGCUAAAUGUGAUUUAUAAUUAGAAUGAUUGGUGAUGGAUUUGUUAGAUGGCACCAAGUAGUUGGGACAAGAUCAACACUUAUAAUUGUGGUAUUUUAGUAUAUCUAUAGUGUUGCCACUAGCCAGCAAACAACCUUAUGUACAUAUCCAUAACCAAACAGUUAUUUCUUGCUUCUUUUCCCUCUCUGGCUCUCUUACUUUUUUUACAGUUGUUUCAAGUAAAGGUUCCAUAUUAAAUUUCGUUAUCCAACAUUUGGAAGCUACAUGUAAUAUCUUUAAAUUAAAUGAGAAGCAUUCAUCCCUUUGUUAUAAUAGUGUAUUUGUAUAGUCAGUUAUCUUACAAUUAAAACAAGAAAUUAAAAAAAAAUGAUAUAAUAGUAACAUAUUAUGAGAUAGCUGUUAAGAUUUGCCACUUGCAAAAAACAAACUGGGUUCCUCUUCAUGACGGAUAGGUCUCCAAUCAAAGUACGCGGAACGGACCGAAGCGACGUACCGGUGAAGAUCGAUACCGGUUCGGUACCGAUUCGGAACCGGUUCUGAAAAAAAAAACGCGCGGACGCGCGCGUCCACGUUAUGCUGCAGAGUGGCAUUUAAUGCCACUUUGCCGCAUUAAAACCGGCCACGUGGGGCAGCGUGGGGGCUCGCUGCCCUGCACGGCGAGCUCGCGCAGGGAAUCACGCACGCAUGGACCGCGAUUCCCACCACGUGGAACGCGCACGAGCAUGAGUCGGGGGACGCGUUUCUCCACUCGCGCCCGCGUCCCCACGCGCAGGCGCGCUCCCCACGGCCUCUCUCUCUUUUUUCUUUCUUUUUUUCCUCCUCUUCUUCUUCCCGAGCUCCUCCUCUCUUCUUCCCUCUCUCCUCCUCUCUUCUCCUCUCUUUCCCCCUUCUCCUGCGAGCAAUGGAGCUCUUCUUCCCCGCGAGGUGCUCCGGAGGAAGAAAGAGGCCCGGUAGCGCAAGAGGUCUUCUUCCCCUCUCUCCUCCUCUCUUCUCCUCUCUUCCCUCCUUCCCCGCGAGUACCGAUGCAAACCGGUGCAGUCCGCACAGGUACGGGCAAGGAACCGUUCGGUUCCGAAUUCCACCGCUGUACCGUACCGGUGAAGGCCGGUACCGGUACGGUACAGGCUGAACCAGUCGGUUCCAACUGGUUCAGCAGACCAUGUCUCAAACACUAGUUUUUGAAGUGAUUGAACCAAAAAAUUUACUGGAUUAUGACAGGUAGGGUAGCUGCAGUUGGAAGAAGAUGCUAAAGUCAGAGCUUAAUAGCAGGACACUUCUAUUUAGAGUGUUGUACCUGCUUGAGAAUCUAUCACGAAACUUGUCCCCGAGACUCGUUCUCACGUUCACUAAAAGUCAUUUUAUAUUCUAGAUUUUUGAGAGUGAGUGAGAGAGAGAUUUGCUUCCCCAUACAUACACAAAUAUGUUCCUGCAACCAAAUAUCGUUAACCAAACAAUGAAGGGCAGAGAAAUGGUAAUUGGGUUGAAGAUGUGAAAAAGAUUUUUCCACUGUAUGAGGGGUGGCUCUGCCUGGACUUAUUUGUUUAGCCCAAGCCCAGCCCAAAAAAGUAAUUUGGCCUUAAGUUUCAGGCCCAAACUGACCAGACAGGCCAAAAACCCUUGCAUAGGCCCGUCUAAAAUUGGGCAAGCAGGUCAGACCAUGUGGACCGCUCCAGAUAUGCUUAGGUCUAAUCUAAAAUGGCAUUUCCAGGUGUUUCUCUGAAAAAAUAAUUUGUUUUGACUUUGCGUGGUGCAGAAAAAGCAUAAGCAUUAAGAAACAUAAUUGCAGCAUCUUGUCCAUCAAAUACAAAUUUCCAUGGGAGCUGGUCUCUCAUAAGAUAAGUAACCCAUGCAUUUCCUAAAGAUCUUGUUUUCCUGAAGUACUUAUCUCAUAACUUGCUUUCAGAUUUGUUUGCCACUUUAGCAAAUAUGAUUUUUCCCAUGUGCUGAUAGAUUUUAAUUUUACCCAUCUUCUUACCCAUCUUGCAUGUGACACUUCCAAUUGCCAACCAAUUUGGAUUUGAACAGAAGUAAUCUCGGUAUCUCUUUCUAAAAUUUCAUAUGGUGCAGGAUAAUCAUAGUUUAGUUUGAAUUUUUGUUAGGGGAUCCAUAGUUUUGCUCCUACUAUGAUGAACUGCAUCUUUUGGUUUAGUAUGCUAAUAAAUCUCAUACUCCCAGGAUUCGUAUAGUCCCCAUAAAACAAAGAGAUGAAAUAAUAAUUAAUACCAAGUCAAAAAAGAUUCAAUCCUACUAUCCAAUAUAAUCAAGAAGAAAUAAUUAUGGUUACCCAAAAGUUAAUCUUAAUUUGGCAUUUUAUAUAUCUACGUGCUGACUUUCGGUUUUAGAGACAAUGCAUUACUUAUAAAACUUGAUUACCUAUAAGGCGACAACUUCUCAAAAUAUUACAAGAUGAUAUAGCAUGCUUAAGCAUUCAAACUUUAUCAUACAAGAAAAAGUUCUCUACUAUAAUAACUUCAAAUGCAAAAAAAAAAAGCAUAAUCCGUUUAGGCCAUAAGGUUUUUUUUAGAUUUUAACAAGUUCUUGCAUACAACCUUAAUAAGUUAUUCUCGAUGAAACAAAAUUUCAAAUAGGCUAAUAAUAUCUCCCAAAUCACACAAAUCUUGAGUACAUACUGAGAAAUCUCCAAUAUCAUUGGAUAUAAUAUUCCAUAUUUUGUUUCCCCAAAACAAUUAAAUUCUCUUUUAUUCAACAGAGAGUGGCUACUGGUCACCAUCAAAUCUGAUCUGGCAUUCACAAACCACAUCAAGAUUUAGGUUACUUGGUCCGAUGUAGAAUGGGAUGGCCAUUUGCAUAUAUAAGAAAACACAAAUCAGACUUUAAAGAGCCAACCUUAAAUGCAUGGAAUAAGGUAUAAGGUUUCUGGUUAUUCUUCGAGCAAAUAAUAGAUUAAACUAUUGAAUAUUUAUCUAUUUUUUCAUUAAAUUAUCUAUGCAUGAAUAGAUUAUGUUAAUAGUUACUUAUGUGAAAUUUAUCUUAUCUUAAUGAUUCUCUAGGAUUAGAGAAAAACAUUUAUUUUCAUAUCCAUAUCCUUUGACUUUCCACUAGCAAAUUCAUCUUCUAUUAGAUUGUAUAAAAUUCUAGACUCUUAAGUCUUACCACUAAAUAAGGAAAAUAGCAGGCAAGGAAUAACCAUUUUUUCAGUACCUCCAGGUAAAAGAAUUUCUAUCAUAAUAGUUAAUAGAAGUUUACUCAGUUUACUCAUUUCUUCCUUUUCCUUUUGCAUUUUUCCCUACUUAUAUUAACAACUUCAGCAAGAAAAAUGACUAGUUGAAAAAAAAAAACUCUUUUCUAAAUUACUUUAAUACAACAACAUGUGGAAUAACAAAAUAUAUAAUAAGAGAAAAUGGUCUUAAUUGCAAGUCCAAGGUCCAGGUUAGGGAAACACACUUACUUUGCAACAAACCGGUAAAACUGGAUCAUCAAUUCCAUGUCAUUCUCAUAAACUGUGUUUACCUUUCCCAAGCAAGCAAUCCCAUAUCUUGGAUCUGCAGCAGGUUAAAAUGGUAAAACUUAUGACCUUGUGUCAAAUAAGACAUUACCAACAAAGAUAGGGUGGGGGAAGGAAAGAGGAGGGAGGGAAAUAGAGUCACCUAAAGUAAAAGAUAUACCUCACGAUAAAGGAUAAAAAGUGUGUGCUUUCUUUUCAUGUGUUACAUGAGUUCGACAGCUGAAUACAAAAAGAUGAUAUAGACCCUUCAUCUACUACAGCAAUGAUGAAUAAGUACCAAGAGCUAGAAAGUGUGCAACUGUGCAUUAUUCCAUGACACUACCGACUAGGGAAGCAAGAAAAAAAAUUGGAUUUACAACAUUAAUAAGCCACUAGUUCUUUUAACGCAUGUAAAACUCUGGCGUAUCCACAUACAUGAAAGGUAAAUACAGGCAUAUCAAUCAUCCAUACCUCAUAGAACUAAUCUUGGAAUAAAAAUGUGCCAAUAGAUGCUAAAUAUUAAGAAGUAUGUGACAGAAUAAAUCUGUGAGGACAUGUCAGAACCCCAUCCAUAUGUGCUGGCAUUUUUGCAGCAUGGCCAAGCAAUGAUUGUAAAUGAAUAGUAGGACUCAACAUAUUAAUAAUUGAUCUCCAAUAUAUCCUACAUGCUCAUGAAAGGUUAGAUUGUCUACUGCUUGGAUAAUAGUCCAUGUAUCACAAUUAGACCUAUUCAUGAGCCGAGCAGCCUGACCACCUACUCAAGUGCAAGGCUUUUCAGAUGAGCCUGAGCCUAGAUUUUGAGCCCAAUAGGCCGAGCCAAGCUUGAAAGAGAUAGUCUAUUAAACAGACUAGACUUGGGUUUAGGUAUUGAAGCCUGACCCGACCCGCAUUAUAAAUAAUAUGUUAAUCCUAGGGCAGAUUUGCCACCUCUUUUAAUUCCUGGAUUAAGAGGAGUCCUGUUCUCCUCUCCUCUUUGAUCGUCCUCUUCUUUCUUUUCCAGUAACCACCAAUGGCCACUUCUCUCUUCUUCUUCUUCUUCCAUCGAAGUCGUCGCAGCCACCCAUCUCUGGUCGAUUAUGGCCGUCUUUGAUGGUGCUUCACUUGUGUCAUUGUAGCGAGGGCCAUGCUGGCAUACACCGACCAUUGGAAUAGUCACAAUAGGGACUUCUCGUAUAUUCAAUAACUUUCCCUACUACAAAGAGGAUGUACAAGGGAGGGUAAUAUAGACCGCUACAGCACUAGAUAGCCCAGAAUAAGAAUUUGAGAGCAACAGAGGAGGGGCUUGGAUUACCUUAAGAGGAAGGUAUGGCAGUUGCGGAGCUCUUUUGGGAUUGAGGGUGGUUGGUGAGUUUGGGCUAGUUUGAGGGGAUGGAUAUGAGAUAGAAAUAGAGGAGUGCCAAGGGAAGGAGGGCAUAGAGAACCCAAGGUAUGAGCUUCUUGGUGAGGAAAGUGGUGGGUUGGUGAUGGUGGUAGGUAGUCCCCAUCCAUGUUUUGUUGUGGCAGUUUGGAUUAUGAGAUGGUGGGAGAAGCUAGGGGAUGGGAAUGGGAGGUGGGGUUGAGAAGGAGGGCAAAGAUGGACCCUUUCUGAUUUCUCCCUCUUUCCUCCCACAUCCACCCAAAACCCUCUCUCUCUUCCACCAUUGUUGAGAUGGAUGAUGGUGAAAUCUAUAAAUUUGACAAGCAUUGGCUACUAAGCCCCAUAUUUAGCGGUUGAACGAGCAUCCAUAUUACAGUGCUAGAUAGCAUCAUCAACACAAACUCCUUCACCCUAGCCGUCUUUGUAGGCCCGGACUUCGACCCCUCCAUAGUAGUCUCGCCUUCGACGACUGCACCACCAGGAAUUAGAUGGCGGAGGAUCGGGUCUCCUUCUAUGUCUUCACCUUCGCCUCCUUCCUCUGCUCCUGCCUCAUCGCCUUCUGCCUUAAGCUUUUUUCCAAAUUAAAAAAAGAAAUUAAGGAAGUCCAAGAGUUGGCCCAAACCUGAAGUUCGAGUAAAUGUUGGGCUUAAGCAUGGGAAGUAGGACUGAAGGCUGAGCUAGGUCAGGCCCAAGCCUGACUAAUUUUAGUUAUACCUUGGCUUGAGCCAGGUCUAGCCCCACCCUAUGAAUAGGGCUAAUCACCAUAAUAAGGAGCAAUAAUGAAGCCCAUCUUAGGAAGAUGGAAAAGAAGCUAGACAAAACUUCCAUAGAUAUAUGAGCCAUCAAAGAAUGCAAAUCUUAGAUGCUAAAAAUGGAAAAACAAUUAAUAUUUCUUAUAUUCACAAAAUAAUGUUGAAGCAAAAGCCAGUUGUUGAAAUCAAUAUGUUAGAUCACCUGCACAAUUAGCACCACUCAAGAUUCAAUCUCUUGUAUGGGGGCAAAUAAAGAAGCAAGAGAGAUGGGAGUUCAAGCAUAUUGCAAAAUGCUUAAGAGAUGGGGGAAAAAGAAAGAAGUAUGAGUGGUAGGAGUUAGACUGCUAGAGGGGAUUGAAAAAUGCUUAAAAGAGUGAAGUAGAAAAAUUUAUCAAUGAUGGCUGACUAGGCAUUCUUCCUUAGGCACUUAGGCAACCCAAUUACCUACAUGUCUCAUGCUUUCCCAGGUUUCAAGUAGAACAAACAUCUAAAUGCUUGGGCUAGUUUAAAUGUAAUCCUCUGAUGUUUUUUUAAAAGAGCUAAAUAAGUAGGAAGUAAGGCAUACCCUAAAAAUCAUUUGGCAUAUUUAAUACAUUAUUUUGAGAUAUCUCAUGGGUAUCUCUCCUAAACAGUCAUAACCAAUAAAAGAGUUGUUCGCAUGUGGGCCCUUGAGCCAAAGAAAAGCCCGCUGGUGUCACUAUUAGACAGAAUGACCAAGUGGACAAUUGUGUAUUCAAUAGGGAGAACUGGAUCAUUUUGGACACUUAGAAAUUAUUCACAGCUAUGCGUGAGGUAGGACAUCACGCUCAUAUGACUGUCUUUGUGUACAAUAUCAUUAACAGAUUAGAGUCACUAUUUUUCUCAUAAUCGUUAGAGUAGAUGACUUUGCAUUGGCACAAUGGGUCUAUUUCAUACUAAACGGCCAAUGAUACAAGACCACCUCUUGGAAAUCACUAUCAAGAUUGGAGAUGUUGAUCUUGUUUGAACAACAUGCAAAUGAUCCCGUGACCUAAGGGCACGAUUACCCACUAUGAUUUUGGUUCAAUAAAUUUAGGGCCAAACCCGUGUAUUGGCAAUGACACGCUAGAUUCUAUCCUCGAUAAGGAGCAUAUAGAUUCAUUGUGCUUUGUCAAGAUUGGGGAAAAGAAAAGUUCCAACAAGGAAUCACUUAUGACAUUUUAUCGAUAUCAGAACAAAGAGACAUCAAACACAGAAUCCUGGUACGAAAGAAUGUUUUAAUCAAAUUGGUUCCAUAUUAUAAUUAUUAUUUACUUUGAAUAUAACAAAUUGUUACUUGAAAUUGGUUUUGCACAUCCAUUGGUUGUCUAUCAUGCCUACCACAUGAUCUAGCAUUCUGAUGGGCCAUGAAAUCAAUGGGCUAUAGGAUUGACAGUGCUAAUAUUUUUCCUACAAUCAAUCAAGGAUAAAGGAAGGUGGGAGGACUGAAUUGCAAGAAUUGUUAUGUUGCAUGAAGGGAUUCAUUUCUGUCCAUUAUAUUUACCAAGAAUUAGCACAAUAUACAUCUUUAUGCACAAAGAGACAAGUCAACCUUGCUUCAUUGUGGUUAUGGCAUAUACAUCGAAAUAGGACAUCUUAUAUUAGAAUGCAAGAUAACCUCGAGGCCCUAUCCAAGGUUUUUGGAACCGAUGCCGGGAUCCAUACCAACCAACGACCGGCAUGGAAUGGUACAGGUCCGUACUAUACCAUGCCGAGGGUGUUUCGGCCUCUUUAUGUUUUUUAUUUUUAAAUUUUGAACUGAACUCAGCAUACGGUUUGCUGACUUCAAUCCAAAAUUCGUAAAUAAAAGAGAGAGAGGGAGGGGCCAAGGCGGGUUCAAAACAAAGGAAGCAUUUAAAGAGAGAGGGGAAGAGGAAGGAGGAGGGAAGGAGGGAGGGUUGGCGUCCGAUUAAAAGCCAUGAUGCUCCACCUCUCGAGACAAUUGAGUUCCCUCAAAGGGGGAGUUAUAGAGAGAGGGAAAGGGAGGGAGGGAGGGAGGCGGUCAGCAUACUUGGACAAUCGACGGCCAGUGAGACGAGCAAGGGCGAGAUGCAUGAGAGUUGAUCGAACAGAAGAAGGAAAGGAAGAAACGAAGAAGCAGAGCCCUAAACCAAAUUUAUAGCAUGAAAAGUGCCGAUAACCGACUGGUCCGAUUUGAUACGCCCCGAAUCUGCCGGUUCGGCAUGGUUUAAUAUUUUCUAUCCUAUACCAUCACCUUGACUUUUUCUCGGAUCUUUCUCGAGCCCUCACCAGACAUAGGUUCAAUAUAUUUGAGUGUAUUUGAUCCCGCCCUUAGUAUAGGAAUAUUGGAUUAGUUAGGCUAACCUAUUUUAAUUAAUUGGUUCAUUGUACCAAUCCAAACCCUGACCCUUGUGACUAGCUCAUGCCUAGAGCUUACUAGGCUAGUCCAGCAUGUGGGCCUAGGCGGCCUACUAGGGUUGCCAACCAAACCAUAGGGCAUCCUAGGUGGCCGGCAACACUUGAGCGCUAGGGUUUUAACCUUAGGUGGCUGCUAGCCUAGGGUUUCCUAGGUGGAGCAUCCCACCCUCUCAUUAAGGGGUUGGGACCUAGGGAUCUAGGGGAUAAUGAAAGAGCUACAGCUAAGGUAGGAGUGCCAAAGAAUUGGCACGGAAACCUAGAGCUUACCCAAAACACAGAGAGAGAGAGAGAAGGAAGGAAGGAAGGAAGGAAGAGACAAGGAGGAGACCGUGGUGUGAUUCUUGAAGGGCUUGUCGGGUGCGAAAACUCUAUCUGGUGCCUAAAGAAGUCUUCUUCCAUCUUCUUGUAUUAUCUAAUCAUGUCUGCAGGUAUUAAUCUAUCUUGCUCUGCAUGUAAUCUAUAUUCUAUUGGUGAUUUAUUGAAAAAGAGUGACCCGGUUCCUAUUCUCCCACUGCAUCACGAUGUUGUAUUGUAUUGUUGUCUAUCAAAAUAAUGGUGAAUGAAGAAAAUAUAUUCCUAUGGAUUGCAAUGCAAUAUAGAAUACAGUCAAGGUUCAAGGACUAUGUCAAUAAGAAAAAAGUUUAAAACCAACUUUAUCUAAUAAAAAAUGAAGACAUUCUCAAAUACAUUAAAACAAAUGGUAUGCAGAAUAAUCUCAUAUGACUAUAAGAUUAUCCACUGUCAGAUUACUUGAGCUAUAUGGAUGAGGAUGCUUGAAUGAAGAGGGCAUGCUAGCAAACAUGAGCAUAACAACUAUGAAGAUGUUGAAGUGGCUAUAUGGUGUAACUAUAGACUUAAAAAUAGGUACAUUUGAAGAAGUUUCGCAAUAGCAAUAAUAGAGGAGAAAGUAAAUUAAGCUACAAAAAAUUAGUAAAUUGUAUCCAUCGAGAUGACACAAAAUUGAUGGCACGAGACUUGUCAAUUAUGUUUAUGUACAGUGAUUUGAUACAUCAACUAGUUUUUAGUGGUCUGCCCAUCCGUUUGGUGCAAAAUAGUUGGUUUCUAGUGUCUGUAUGCUUUUCCUUCUUGGUCCGUACCCUUUCACCCUAAUGAUAAAAGCUAAUACAUUUUGUCAAGUUCCCAUUCUUGCGAUGUUGUUCUCAAGAAACCUGUCUAAAAUGCAGCAAUUAUUUUGGUACAGAAGAUACAGCAAGGAAAAUUAGGGAUAUCGUCAGCGGUGCAGAAAAUGUUAGUAUUUUCAGUGUUAAAAUGAAACCACUAGCUAAUUGGUAUCACUAAGAAAGUUAGAGCUACCAGUGGAAGCAAGCAAGCAUUUUAGGAAAACACGGGCAAGAGAGUUGUUCCAGGUACUGAUCUCAUGAACAAGACUCCUCCAUUAUUUUUUCCUUACCGUGUCAUUAGAGCAUAUAUUGAAUGCAGUACUGCUGCUUAAAAAAAUUAUCCAAAUCAGCAACAUUUUUAUUGAUAACAAGGCUUAAUAAAGUGUAAAGAGAGUGCAGCUACAAACAAAAAACAACAUAAAACAAUUUAACCCACAGCAGAUCAUCCAAGAACAUAAUCAUUUUGUUACUAAAACACCAACCUACCAAUUCCCAUUUCCCGAAAUAUUUCCUCUUGGAUGGCUGUAGUUACAGCUACCGCCUCCUGCAAAAGAAAACUAUGUAAGUCAUAACUUUUGUUCCACUUUUGAAAACGUAAGAAUUCAUAGUUUAUAUUAAUAAAAAAAAAGAGGACACUCUAAGUUUUCUUUUGAACCUUUUUUAUAGAGUAACAUAUAUAGCCAUUCCAAAGAUGCUUAACAUGCUCUCAAGCAUACCAGGUUUAAUAAUGAAUUUGAUGUUUAAUCCAUCAGUACAGAAAGAAAAUGAUGUAUUUGUGUUAAGUGUCAAUUAUAUUGCUGAUUUAUCUUCCAAGGUUUCAAUGCCAAUGAAAACUUUCAAGGUACAACUAGCUAUAUUGCAACCUAUUUCUAAUUUUUUUGUUAUUUAAUAGCCUGCUCAAUAUGUGAUUCUAAUAAAGAUUCCAUGUUAACUUUAAAUAAGUUCUAUCAUGGCUCUAAGGAAAGGUGUCAUUUCUAUAUUUUUAUCAUUCACCAUAUUAGUUUUAAGCAAAGGUUCUAUGGAUUACUAUAUAAUUUCUUAAGCUUUUAAGUAAGAAGUGAUUGGUUUUCAUCUUUAUCUCUCAUCCAUAUUUUUUAUAACAAGUGUGUGGCUAGGCAAAGAAAAUGAAUAGAAGAUGCCCAUAUCUCUCUCUCCUCCCCCUCUCCAAAUAGUUGUCAUCUAAAUUAACUUUCAAACUUUUCCUAUUAUCAUUUUGGUCCCUAUGCAUGCAGUGUCUUCUCUUCUCUUCUUUGUGAAUUUCAAUUAAAAAGAAUAAUUAUAUGGAUCAAUUUAGCUCUCCUGUUACAUGGAAUUAAUUGAUCAGGUGUUAAUUUAUAGAGGACAAGAUUUAAUCUCACAUUGAUUUUUAUUAUGAUACAUUAUUGUAUAACUCUUCAUAAGCAUUACGUGUUAAUUUAAAAGAAUUAUUUUAUUUCUACUUUCUUUGUUCUUAUAAUAAGAUAUAGGUUUCAAGAUUUUCUUUUCUCCACCCCAUUAAAUUUUAGUAAAUAUUUCAUAUUCUACUAGGUAAUUUAUCAAGUCUUGAUCAUGAAAGCAAUUAAUUUCUGUCUCUAUCUCUCCCUCUUAUCCCUCAUUAUGGUAUGUACAAUUUUUCUUUUCUUUUUUUUAGGUGAAAGUAUCAAUGAUUAUUUCUUAAUGAUUAAAAUUAAAUAUAUUGAUGUUUAACUUUGUUCAUAUUAUUAUUUGACUUCUCAUUGCAACUUACUUCAUGUUUGUGAGAUCUCAUUCUGUUUGUUGUGCAAGCAUCUUCUUCGCUUUUAAGCAAAUUUCUUGCUCCCCUGUAUUCUCCUCCAACUAUUCUUAAGCUUGGGUAAGAGAAAAUCAUGUCAUGUGAUCCAUUACUACAUGCAUAACAGAAAGCACAUGAUCAAACAUUCAGAAUUGUAAGUUUUGCAAGAAAAAUGAUUCAAUGGGGAUUUAUUUUUUUACUACAUUAUUUGCAUUUGUUUCAAAGGAAGAAACCCAAAAAGUUUUUAUGGAAAACUGUUAGUUUUCCAACAGGAAUACAACUAUGAUUGAAAUUGGAAUUACUCAAGAAAAGUUUAAGUUUACUUUAGAAUUAAUCAGUUUUAUAGUUCGUCAGUGUUUAAUGGAUAAAAAAAAAACUGCAAAUUAUACUCUCGCUUACCCUAUUAUCGCUAUCAGUAUCCUCUUUAUACAUGUACGAUCAAUAUAUGUACUGCUAAGUGAGAUAUAUGAACAAAAAUACAAAUUAAUUAUCAGUUGCUGAUACAUGUAAUGUCCAUGGCAAUGGCUGAAUGAUAGUUGUUGUAUCCUUAUUAACAUAGUUCCGACUUAAACCAUUAUUCCCCCAAAACCUAUCUAUCUACCGACAACAAUGAUCGAGCAGUUAAUCAGCAACUGAUAUCCGCAGUCUGUCAUGGUAAUUAAGGAAACAAGGGGGUAAAAGGAAAAUUUGAAAAAAAAAAAAGCUCGUUGUAAGAGUUAUCAAUAAAAAAAAAUAAAGAAAGAUUUUAAAGUAACAGAAGGUAGAACUCAAGAACUCACAUUUAGCAGAAAAUUUAUAAAGAAAAUCAAGUGACGAUUAUAAAAAACAUACCUGCUUGUCCUUUACGGCAUUGGCUAUCCGUUUCUUGACAUCUGAAGAUCCAAAGAUGCAUCAAAACGGGAAAUCAGAAAGGAAAACACACGCAGAGGGGGACAACCAGAGAGGGGGGGAAACGGGAAGAGGAGGGAGCGGACCGGGUUGGGAGGUGAGGACCGAGAAGCGAGCGAAGAGGUGGAGGAGCUGGUCUCUGGAGAGCAUUUCCGAGCUCUGGAGGGCCCUCGGAGGAGCGGAAGCGCUCGCCAUGGCUCAGAGAAGAGAGGAGAGGAGGGAGAUGGAGGCCGAGGACGAGAACAGCCGAUCGAAGCGGCGAAUAACAGCAGCACAAAGGAAAAAGAGACGCCGCUAGAGCUUGGUGGGCGUACCGUUGUCGCCGAUAUCCUCCACAUAAACGGAUUGUGUUACGAAUAACGGCCGUUAUACACACACUCCAGCUCGUUUGGCAGUCAAGUAUUUUAUUUAUUUUUUGCUUAGGAAAAGAAAAAGCCGGGAGGAAGGGACAAGUCCAUCUCUGCAUAGCAGCUCCCACACUCCCACUUCGGUAGGAGAAUGUUCGAUGCGGGUAGAAUGAUCAUGUAUUGGGCAUCUCGGCCGGUUUUACUCAUAUCCUUUCCAUCCAUAGGCCCGGCUUGGUUAUCCCUAUAGGCUCUGGCACAAAUUCUCUGUAUGAGUACGUCACAUCUGGCACCACCGAAGCUAUCAGAGGACCAAUAAGCCCUUCCACCCCAAAUGUCCGAGCGGGGAGCAUCCGGGCAACUAUUACGACCGCCAGGAUAACUCAUUAUAGCGAAAAAUAACAAUAUUAUUCAUUUAAAUCACUGUUUAGACAAUAAACAUUAUUUUUUAAGCAAUCCGCUCCGCUAAUUUUUUUUUAUGACUAUGUUUAUUUAUAUCAUGAAACAAUUUACAAUAUAUGUCUAUCUUAUUGAUACAUUACGAAAAAAAACUUCCUGAUAUCUAGGUAUAGUUGAACUAAAUACUUUAUGGAUCAUGAUUUAUAUCUUAAAAUAUGAAUAGAUUUAAAUUUAUUAAAUUAUAGUAAAGCAUAGUAUUAUGCCAUUAAAACUGUUAGUUUUAAUACUUGUUUGAUACUUAGAGACCACAAACAUAUAAAUGUUGGUCUCUAAAUAUUUUUUGUAAUAUAGAUCAUAUAAUGAUUUAAAUCUUGAGUUUAGAUAAUUUAUCAUUGAUUUUGAAGGAGUUGACAUAAAAUAUGUAGUCUAACUCAUAUAUGCAUAUGUAUCUACGUACAUACAUACAUGCAUAAAUAUGUAUGCAUAUGAGAAAGAGAAAUAUAGACUAUGUAAUCUUGCCGAUAGAGGUUUUCUACUAUUCUCAAAUUCAAAAUCAAUAUUGGGUAAACAAAUCGAAGAUUUGAUUUAUAUCAAUAAACAUACUUUAUUAAUUUCAUUACAUAAAGAAAAAGAAGUGAGUCUAAAUGAAUCUUUUUUUCGCGAGACUAGCAAAUCAAACUAGAGAAAGUCCCAGAGUUAUUUGUUCACUUUCACUCUCCAACAAGAAAAAUCACAAGAAUCUCAUUUCCAUAAAUAUUUCACUCAUAAAAAAUAUAAUAUUUCUCUAAUAAAAAAGGUUACAACCAUUCAUAUAUCUUAUCAAGUGAUUUGGACAUGUGAGACACUGGUUGAAAUAAUAUGAAUAAUUUUCAUACUUAAAAAACCCAUUAUGUAUAAGAUUAUAAAGUCUAGCAACAACUAUAGAAACCUUAAUAUAAAUCUUGAAUUAGAGAGAGAGAUAGUCAUAAAAGGUAUUCAGUGAUCUACAACUGGGAUUCUUUUAUCUAGGUGUGCCUUUAAUGUGUGGUCCUAAUUACUGGUUGGUUAGAAUAUGCCUCGAAGGAUAAUGACAUGAAUCCCCUGCUCCUCCACUAUAUGAAGUUUUUAGACUCUCUAAACCUUAAUUGAUUUCAUUGCUCGAGCUGAUUGUCAUCUUCCUCCAAAUUUGAGUCAAAAAUCAUGCAUACUUCAACGACUCAAUAGGAUAAGGCUUUCUUGAAGAAUAGUUAUUCAGAGAAAGCUAUUUUUCUUUUUACUACACCCAUGCUUUCUAGAAGCUCCCGAGACAUUUCUAAUAUCCUAUAUAUUUUUCAUACAUAUCUUGUAUGUAGUGAUAUUUUAAACAUUCUAAUCAUCACAUGUAUGAUGCAUAGCACAAUCCUAGCCACUCUAAUACAUAAUUGAGCUCUAUAUAUAAGGGAGGGAUCUUUGUUUGCAACCUAACUCUGAAAAAUUCUAAUCUCCAUUUUCUAAUAUAUACAAAAACUUUCAUUCACUAUGCAUUCUCACUCUCUCUUGCUCUCCUACUUUUCCUAAAUAAAUAAAAGGAUUGGAUCCCAAAUUGCCAAGGGUGUGGCACUAGAUUGAUUAAGACAUAUCUAAAUAAAGAAAGGCUAACCUGGUUAUGCAUAGGUAGUCCAGAUGCUGCAUGAGUUUUGGAUAAGGUGCAAAUCUUAAAUCAGUGACAUGAUGCUCAAGAGCAUUUAGCAUUUCAGUGUAAAAAUUUAGGUGCGACCUACAUGGUAACAUGAGUGGUAGGUGGAAUAGCUAGGAGUUAACUGCAAUAUCUUCGUCCAAAUGACAAGAUCUUAGAGUCACUAUAAACAAAUUUCUCAUGCUUGGUGUCAUCUUGCUUGUUGAUACAUGCCAAAUUUCUAUUAAAUAUUGGGAUGUUAAAAGAUUAAAUCAAUUUUUAAAUAAAACAAAUCAACAUCCAAUUUGAAAGCAUAACUUGAUAGAUAGGUCCCAACUCUAGAUGUUUGAGAAUCCAUUUUGAAGCUAAUUUUGAUUUGUAAAUGUUUUUCCUUUUCUAAUUGAUUUUAACGUAAGUGCUUAUAUUAUAAUCAAGUUUGAGUAUAAAACUCUAGCAGGGUUUGAUUUGCAAUAAAAAGAUUUUUCAAACUUUUAGAAGAAAUCAAAGAGUUUUAUAUGUUAUAACUUUUUAACAAUUUAUAUUGCAGAGAUAGCUAGGCGCUUAUGAUAUCUUUGGCAACAUCAGAUUAAAAAUGAAAUUCUUGACACACAAUAUCAUCCAAGUCUUAGUCCAUGAUUAAAAGUGAUGGAGAUAGACAAGAAUUCAAGGCUUAUUAUCACCAUCGAAAAUAAAGUUGACAUUUAUGAAUUGAAAUAAAUAUAUGCAUGGCUGAUUGGUAGUUUUCAUGGAUAAUGAAGAUUAAACUACAAGUUCUUAAGACUUUUGAGGCCUUAAUCUUAUUAUAUGGGUCACCCUAAUUAGACAUUUGUCAUUUUUAUUAUUAUCUUUCAUUUCCUGUUACUUAGUUCAUUACGUCGCUACUUUAGUUCAAGCAAUUUUUUUAAUUGGCAAAUCAUCUAAGAUGGUAAUAAAGCCAUUUUGCUUUAGUGUGAAGCAACUUUAUCGUAUGUUAAGAUUACUUGGUCUACAAGCCUCUUUACUUGCUCAAUAGGUUAUUUGGGCAUAAAGGGCUACCUAGUAAUUAUCUUUUCAUGUAGAGGUAUAUAUGUCAUGACUCAUAAGGUACUUUUAAGUUGCUCUAUAAAUAGAGGAUGCGCUUCCUCUCUUGGGUUCUCAUAUAACAUAAAGGAAUGAAAUCACUUUUCUUUAUAUGAGCUUCCUUCAUGCAAUACGAAGUUGGUGUGAGACCCUCCAGUAAUUCCAAAGUUCUUCGUCUCUAUUCCAUCCUCUCCUACUUCUCUAUUCCAAAUAUUUUCUUUUUGAGCUAUUUUUCACCACCUUCGCUAGAAAAAAAACCCAUAAUGCAAGACUUUAAUCCCAUAAUGCAAAUUCAUGACCUCCAACAAUUUGAGCUCUAACACUAUUUAAACUAACCAAUUUAUCCCAAAAGUUUAAGUUGAUAAAGAAAUCUAUCAAGCUUAACAAAGAAGAAACCAGCUCAUAAAGAUUCAAAUUUAGCUUUGACUUCCCAAACUGUCCAUGUUGCAGCAUUGAUCAUUUGUUCAGCAUCCGGAAAGAACAAUAUGAUCCCAUUUCCCACAUUCUCUCGAAAAAUGACACAUUUUUACAUUAGAUAUGCAAUUCAAGUUCUAUCUUGCAGUGCAUUAUUAUUUUAUAGUCAGAAACAAUAGGUUGUGCAAGUGCUGAACAGAAAAAUUGGAAGUGAAAUGGAGGACAAGGAGAAUCAUCAAAAAUCUUUUUUACGAAAAAAAAGCAGAAAAAAUAAAUCAUGCAACCUGCAAUCAUAAGACUUCCUUGUUAAGCAAGUCAAUUAGGUAGAGCUAUUUAUGCUCAAAUUCAGAUCCUUACAAUAAGGGAACCACAUAAAAUCAAUCGUCACGACAUUGAACUACAAGGCAACUAGGUCUCAAUGCUUUGAACUUUGCAUCUACUACAUAAAGUUAUUCCAUCCUUCACACCUAUAUGAACAAUUAGAACACCUAGUGCUUUUCUAGUUCUAACUUCAUUUUUGAGGGGGGAAACAUUGGAAAUAACACAUUCCCAGUUUCACCAAAAAAGAAAGAAAGAAACAAAAAAUCGCAUUUCUGGUUCAAACUUGGAACCACUCUGUGGCAAAUGCACUGAAGAGAGGGGUGCCAACCGGCCAGACCGACUUAAAGAUGGGUACUUGAAACAUCUCCAUAACUACUAACUGCUGUGUUCCAAAACAAAUUAAAUGUAGAUCUAAAGAGAAUUGAACAUCUUAAGAUGCAAGCUUAGAUCUUUCAGGUAUAGAACUUGCUAAUCUAUAAUAAUGUUGUCAGGUUUUCUAAUAUGACAUCCCAAGAUGUUCUAUCAGGCAUGUUUAAAUGUUUAAGCACAUGUCCAUCGAAAGUUGUUAAAAAUAAGAAUUUGUAGUGGAUUAUCCUUCCUGAAGAAACACUAUUAUCUAUAUACAGAUAUGUGGAAGUAGAUUCAUCAAUGAUAUGAAACAGAAUUGGAUUUUAUCCAAAACAGUUUCUGAAAAAUACUAUUUCUACAUUCAUAAAUAUAUGGAAAUAGAUUCAUCGGUGAUCUGAACAAGUUGAUGUAAAGAUCACAAGGUCUAAAAAUCAGUGCAUAUCCAAGUCAUAUUUACACAUAGAUAUUGCAGAUAGAUGAAAUAAAAUGUGUAUGACAACAUAUGCAAUUUCAUGAGUUAACACCAAAUUUCGGGUAAAAGAUUUGGGCUACCGAUUUUUUCCAAGUGGAUUGGCAGACAGCAUACUAAAAAAUAAGAUUCUUAUAUUUGAAGCACUCUUCAACCUAUAUUAGAGAAGAAAUAUUAGAGAAGCACUCUUAUAUUCACCCAAGAAAUAGCUAAAUAACUGACAUCUCUUUCAAUCAAAUGAAGAUUUCUUCUGAUGGCCUGGUGAAAAGCUCUGAUAUCCAAGUAUUGCAUCUGUAUAGAAGCAAGAAACACGUCAAAGCAUGUAGAGGAGAAAUAAGCAUUCUAAAGACAACCAGUUGGCAUUUCUCUACCCAUGUGAGGAACCCAAGGUUCAAACCUUGGCGAUGGCACAAGCACACCAUAUUUCUUUAAAAAUAAUUAAAAACAGAAAUCCUAGAACAAACCCAAGAGAUAAUUCAUACUAGUUACUGCUGAUCUAUGGCUGGUAGUAUCACAUUCUUUAAAAAGAAUUAAAAACAGAAAUCCUAGAACAACCCAAGAGAUAAUUCAUACUAGUUACUGCUGAUCUAUGGCUGGUAGUAUCACAUCAGAAAAUCCCUCAGCAUACUUGGUGCGCUGUUCAGCAUGACAAAUUCAAGUGCUCAUGUGGAUACAUGUAAACCUAGUGCAAUUUUCAAAAUAAUAACAAUUGGAGAUAUUGCUCCCAAACAAGAAUGGACAGAAGGACAGAAGUAGGAGGUCGAGAUAGAGGUGCAAACAAGCUGAAAAGAGCCAAGUAUCAGGCUGCUUGGCUAGGCUUAAUAUAUACCAGGAUUGCUCAAGCUCAGCUCAAGCUCAAGCAGAGCUAGCUGAAGUUGUUCAAGUUCAGCUUGUACAAGCUCUUAUCUGAGCUUUAUUGAGCCAAACCGAGCUUCCCAAAUUUCUGCAACCAGCUCAUUUUCAAUCACAAAUCAUUUAUGAGCCAAUCUCUCGAAACAGUUUGAGCCCAGCUCGCCUUCCGAGCCAAACCUGAAUAGCUGUUGUUGAGCCGAUCUCGAGAUGCUCAUGAAACACAUGGAUUGUUUGCAGAUGUAAAGGGAGAGUGCAGACAUACAAGUCCCAUUUAGAGAUCAACAUACAAAUCUCUUUGAAAAUCCACUUUACUCAUACGUGAGAGUAAGCAGCAGACUAGUAUCAAGAAUAGCACAAAGGACAUAGGCAUGCUUCUGCAUAAGCAACAAGAGAAAGAAGAGAUUCAUUAAUAGUACAAGAUUCUAAACUAACAAUCAUGUGUAUUGCAUUUCAAAUAAUCUGUGGGAAGGGCAUGUAAACACUAGAUGCUUGAAGCUUCUAUCUUGGACUAACACAUAUUCAGCUGAUUUUAUUCUCACAUGGAAUUGAACGCCCGCAGCUAGUUAAAAGCACUCACACAGGUUGAACUUUUACAGAACAAAUAAAAUGGAUACUUAAUCAUCACCAAACAGAACAAUGCAAGUUUAAAAUUUGAGCUAUUUGAGUUUACUUCUUCUCAAAUAUAAGGAAAUAUUAUUUUUAUAUUCAUAAGGAAAGGUAUCGCACAACCUCUGUAAUUAAAUCAUAACAAGACAAAGAGAUGCUGAUUAGCAAGUUACUUUAUGGAUAUGAAGGUUAUACAUUAAAUUCACUAAGCAAAUAAUUGCGUAAAUGCAACAAGUCAACCAAAAGCAAAUGAUUUUUCCUUCAAUUUUUCUGAACUUCAGAGCUAUUUCUGCUAAACUUGUGAUGUAAUUAACUCGUAAAUUAAUUGCACAUUAAUUCCUUUGAAGUUUGAGCAGAUGAGUGCAGUGCCUGGAAAAAAAAGAAUGUUUCUAAUUUUACCGAUCAGACAUGCAAAUUCUUAUAGUAGCAUCAGUUCAUUACAGACUACUUUUCUGUGGCAUUUCUUCUUUUUGGUAGAAUCUAUGGCAUAUCUUCAGUGUCCAGAUGUGAGAAUCCAACCAAAAAAGACGCACCAUAGAAUUAGGUCAAUCUCAAUUGCCGGUUUCUUUGGGCUGCCAACUAUAAAUGUAAUAUCCUACUAAAAUAUUAUCUCUGUGAUCACAUUACAUAACAGAUUAUUUCACCCUCUUAACAAACAGGCACAGAUGAAGACAGAUAGAGAGGAUUUAUUCAACAGACAUGAUGAAGCUAUUAAGAUAUGAGAAUAAACAUGAAACUCCAUGCAAACAAUUAUAUGCUAAUUUCAUAUAACUCAUAGCAAAUACGCAUUAAUGUGUUAUGAAUCCAUGAUAGCCAUAAGCAGUUGUUGUUGAUUGACUGUUGGCGAGCAUAAAUCUGAAACAAAACAAAAAUAUUUAAGCAGCCGAGAGAAAAAGCAGGGACUCUUGGGCGAGUCGCUUUAAGUUAGACAUCCACUUUCCGUUAAGGGAAGCGUAGAUCAAUUCCUGUUUUGGUUAGCGGGCGCAGUUGACUUGACGCAUAUCCCUCAGCAAGAUUUAUGCUAAUUCACGAGCCGUCCUAAUAAUCCACAACUACAUAAACAAAAACUAUUGGAAAAAUAUAUCCACAUGAAACUGCAGCAGAAUUUGCUUAUGAGAACUCAAGAGAAGUAUAUGACACCAGAAAACGCAUUGCAUAUAUGAAAAGAUAAAAUUGGAAGAGAAAAUUUCCAGAGCAUGUUAUUGUAAUGAAGAUUGUUAAACUGAGCUACUGAGAGAAAGUACAACACAAUAGUCAUUAUUACCUCUUACCGUAGUAUCUAAAACCAUAGACAGAAUGCCAUGCGGCCCAUGUCUAGUAAGAGUAAGCAAAUUCAUCGCCAAUUUAUGAAAGACAUCAAAAAGAAAGUGUAAAAUUGAACAUUUUUUUGUUCCCACAGCAUAGAUAAACUCACGCAUAAUGACAAAAAAUCAAAUCAAAGUCAGACACAAUCAGUCAAAUCAAGCUUCGAUCACAUAAUCUGCUCAUGAUUCAUAGUGAUUGCCAUGUACACUAAAAUUUCCUUCACUGUUCUAGGAGAAGAAUUGCAUUAAUUUAAUUCCAUAAAAGGCACUGCUGUACUCACCUUUAACCCACAAAAGUCUAUGAUGAGGUGUGCAAACAAAAGGCUAACAUGACAAGUCCAAGAGUAUACCUCCCACACCAACCAAAGUGAUGCUAUAUCUCCAGUACCAUCCUCCAAAGAUCACUUACUUUUCUCUAGUAAUAAACACAGGAAUCUCCUUCAUGAUAAACCUUCUCCCUCAGACAGCCCACGAUAAACCAUCAACAACAUCUCUUAGGGGCAUUAUUUCAAACACAAAAGACCUCAUUGGAAUACACCAUUCCACACUAUACAAACACAAAACAAAAGACAAUCUAUGGCUUUCCAAAAGAUCAUUUAUAGUAUAUUAGACUUCUUAUAAACAUACAUAAACCUUCAACCAAAGCAAACUCACCUGAAAGAAAGCAACAGUGAAAUUAUUACAGAGAAAGAAUCAUUCAGAAAUCCUCGUCUAACUUGAACACAUGGUUCCCUCCAUGGCCAUUCCCAUUCAAGCUCGACAUCACCGCCGCCUUCUGGUAGUCCCCGACCCUCUUCUCGAAAAAAUUAGUCUUCCCUUGGAGCGAUAUCAGCUCCAUCCAAUCGAACGGAUUCGCUGCCCCGUACAACUUCCCGCAUCCCAACGCCCCCAAGAGACGAUCCGCCACGAACUCGAUGUAUUGGCUCAUCAAAUCCCCAUUCAUCCCCACAAGCGCCACGGGCAACGCGUCGCAGACGAACUCCCUCUCGAUGUCGACAGCGUCGGCGAUGAUCGACUUGAUGCGGUCCUCGGGGAGCUUGCGGUUGAGGAGGGAGUAGAGGAGGCAGGCGAAGUCGCAGUGGAGGCCCUCGUCGCGGGAGAUGAGCUCGUUGGAGAAAGUGAGGCCCGGCAUGAGGCCUCGCUUCUUGAGCCAGAAGAUGGAGCAGAAGGAGCCGGAGAAGAAGAUCCCUUCAACAGCGGCGAAGGCCACGAGGCGCUCCGCGAAAGAGUCCGAGGACUGGAUCCACCGGAGCGCCCACUGGGCCUUCUUCGCCACCGCCGGAACCGUCUCGACGGCACGAAAAAGGCGGUCCUUUUCGUCAGGGUCUUUGAUGUAGGAUUCCAGCAAAAGAGAAUACAACUCGGAGUGGAUGUUUUCGAUGGCUAUCUGGAAGCCGUAAAAGGCGCGGGCCUCGGCGAUCUGGACGUCGGACAUGAAGCGGGCGGCUAGGUUCUCGAGGACGAUACCGUCAGAGGCGGCGAAGAAGGCGAGGACGUGGGAGAUGAAGUGGCGCUCGUCGGGGGUGAGGGUGUGGAGCCAGUGGGGGAGGUCGGCGGAGAGGUCGACCUCCUCGGCUGUCCAGAAAGAGGCGACGGCCUUCUUGUACAUCUCCCACACCUGGGGAUACCGGAUCGGGAACAUCGACAGGCGGUCGGGGGUCGGGGCGAGGAGCGGCUCCUCCAGCUCCUCGACGGCGCCGGCGCCGGCGCCGGCAGGCAUCGACGGCAUGGCCAGAGAGGAGAUUCUGGGAAGAAGAAGAAGAAAAUGUAGAGAUAGGGGCGUUUUGGGAAUUCGAGAGGGGAAUAUCUGGUAGGGUUUUUGGCGUGGAUGCUGAUUGAGUGGGGUAUUUUUAUAGAGAGAUUUCGGGAAUGGAGAGGGCGGGGAGUUCUAAAUUUGGGGACGAUGAUUGCCGAUUUGCCGGGGAGGGAGAAGGGAUCGGUCCACCGGGAGGUGAGUUUGAGGAAAUUGUUACCGCAUGGAUUAGAUGUUCUGUUUCCUAAAUUCUGGAACGACGAAUCGACGAUUGGACUGGACAGCAGAGUGACCGCCAUGACGGAUGUGACAGCCGUUAUCUGCCCGCUUAAGCCUCUAAAUUGAUUUUUGGAGACUUAAAAGAAAAACUGUAGUAAAAGGUUUAGGCCCACUGGCUGAGCGGUUGGUUUAUAAAAAAUAAUUUAUUAUUUAAUAAUUAUAUUUUUAAAGGACUGUAAAAUUUUAAUAUGUAUUUGAUAAAUAAACUAAAAAAUAUUUUUGAUAUGAUAAAAUGACCAUAAAAAAUAUUACAUAGUAUUAUAUAACAGAGCAUUAUAAAAUAUAAUCUAUAUUAAUAUAUAAAUAUAUGAUAUAAUAUAAUAUUACUAUAAUAUAAUAUCGUAUUAUUAUAAUAUAGUAAUAUAAUAUUAUGUACUGUAGCAUAAUAUGCAGAGUUUUCAUUGAUAGACUUUUUAAUCAUUUCUAUAAAAAAAAAGGUAGAAAACCGAGAACCAAAGGGAUACAAUAGUGAGAAUACCCGUAUUCAAGGAUCAAAGAUACUCAGCAUUUAUCUUCAGAAAAAAAUGAAAUAGACUAUGCAGUAUGGCCCACACAAAUCACUUUUGAAAAUUCUGAGAGAAUUAACAGAAGAAAUUAUGGACAUAUAUAACAUAAUUUAAUAUUAUAUAACAUAACAUAUCAAUAUAUUAUGAUAUAAUAUAAUAUAAUAUUAUAUUUAUAGUAUAAUACAGUAAUAAAAAUAUAAAAUAUUAUCAUUAUUAUCAUUAUAUAUUAAUAUUUUUAUUUUCUAUAAUUAUUAUAUUUUAUUAUGGGUAUUUUGGUCUAAAAAGAAAAAAAUUAUUACUCAAAAUAGCUUUCAAAGCUAAAACAGCUUUCCGUUUUUUUACCAAAUACUUCUAUUCCAUCUAAAAAUACUUUUAGAAGGCUAGAAAGUGCCAAAAUUUUUGCCAAGGAGGCCUUAAUGGACCAUAAUGUGAUCUUUAUGCAUCACUAGUUAUAUAAGAAUAUAAAUUAUUUUCUAGAUUAUAAGAAUUUAACAUUAUUAUUUGUCUUACUACAGUUGUAAAGAUUAAAUAAUGACUAUUACUACUAUAUAGUAUCAAAAUAUUGAAAAAGAAGAAUAAGAGAGAAGAGAAUUAUAUUUCUGGUUGUCUUUACAACGUAUAUGAACAGCCUUUAUAUAGACUAGGAGACUGACGAAAUUUAGUAAGGCCGACUAAGUUUGACACAAUCAAUCACAAAUCAAUCAAGGUGAAGUUUAGUAACGCCGACUAAGUUAGGCAUAACCAAUCAAUCAAUGGACCUAAUCAAUCAUACGAUUUUAACAUCCCCUCAAACAGUCAAACUUAAGGUGGUAAAGGGCAUCUUGCGAUCUCUUGUUUCCAAACUCAAGUUAGUGGCAUGGGCGGAGCAUGUCCUCCUCUCCGCCGGAUCGUGGCGCGGUCGGCGGUGGCGUGACGGAUCUCUGCCUUGGUCGUGGCCGGUCGGCAAUGGGGUUUUCCCCUUCCUCCACUAGAGAGAUCGGAAGAACUGAGGAGAAGGCUUGGGAGGGAACAAGAAACCCACGGGAAAGGGGGAAGAAGAAGGUGUUUUUAAAAAAAAAAUUAAUGAGAGAAAAAAAAGACACCAUAGCUCCCUGAGCACCUUUCGAUUGAAAGUCAAACAAAAAAUAAUAAAAAAAUAAAAAUAAUUAAAAAGAGAAACAAUGGCUAAAAUUUUAUCGGAGAAGAGAGUUUUGAAAGCUGCUGAGACCGAAGCUCCGAUAACUCUCCAAACAAGAUAGGAGAAAUAGAGAAUCUGCGAGCGACGAUGAACAAAAAAAAAAAAGAGAGGACGACAAUAAGUUAAAUGAUCGGUGGCUCUGAUACCAUGUUGAAAAAGAAGAAUAAAGGAGAAGAGAAUUAUAUUUUUGUCUGUCUUUACAAUAUACAUGAAAGGGGCGUUUGGUUUGGGAUGAUCGUCCUAGGAUCAAGGGUGAUGUGGGUGGAGGUGAUGAGAUCACCGCGUUUGGUUGCACCAUAGUGAUCCUAAAUCGCCUCCACUCCUCAAAUCACCAUCCAACUCGGUGAUGGGAUACCCGUCCUUGAGGUCGGAAAUCCAAGAUCACCUCAGAACCGUGAUUCUGGGUUGAAAGUUAAAGACAAAAAUACCCCUCAAUUUAGCAGAAAAAUUGAUAUAUCAGUAUACCAUCAAUAUAUUAUGUCCACGUUAUAUAUAUAUAUAUAAUGUUAUGUUGAUAUGAUAUAUUAUAUUAAUGAUAUAUAUAUGUAUAUUAUAUUACUAAUCAUAUUAUUAUCCUAUUAUUAUUGAAGGAUAAUUUUAAAUUAUAGUAUAAAUAUAUUAUUAUAUUUUAUAUUUAUAUAAUGAAAAUAUUUAAUAUAUUACUCCUUUUUACCUUAUUUUCCUAAUCCAAAAAUUAUUAGUAUUAAAAAAUUUAUUAUAAGUAUAAAUAAAAAUAUUAAUUCUAUAAUGAAAAAUAACAUAUUUUUAUAAGAUUAAUAAUUUAUAGGAGUAAUAAAUAUAUUUUUAUAGAAUGUAUUAUUAAUUAAUAUAUUGAUAAAUAUAUUAAUAUUUUUUUAUAAUAUAUUUUAUAUGAUUAAUAAAUAUAUGAUAAUGGCUACUAAAAGUAGAAUAUGCGACAAAAUUAUGGAGCUAUUAUAAGAAUUAAUAUAUUGAUUUACAUUUUUGAUUCAUUAGAAUUAAAAACAUAUAAAAAAUUCAUCUAAGAUAUAUCACGGGUAUUUGUGGUAUUAUGUGGUCGGUGAUCUUGGAUCCCCGUACCAUAUCAAACAAGUUACUCAUGAAUACUCGAGGAUUUUUAAUCACUGGACCAUUACCUACUAAAUACAUUCUUAGAUCACUGAAGAUCAAAUCACCCCAGCAUUCGAAUCAUCGGAGAUUUUAGAUCACUGUGGUGAUCCUAUUGGGGUUACCAAACGCUCUCAAGUAGUCUUUAUAUAGAUUAGGAAGCUGACGAAAUUUGGUAAUCCCGACUAAAUUUGGCACAAUCAAUCACAAAUCAAUCAAGGUGAAGUUUAGUAAGGCCGACUAAGUUUGGCAUGAUCAAUUAAUCAAUGGAUCUAAUCAAUCAUAUGGUUUUAACACAAAAUAUAUACAAAAUAUUGUCUAAAGUAUCUAAGUUUUGCAUGUUGAGCAGGCCUAUAAAGAAAGCAUUGCAACAGCCGUUAUGAUAACGGCAUGAUGCCGUUAGUCAAGCUUCUCGGUCCUAGCCAUUACGCGUUUGAUGCCGAGGUGAGGGAUCGCGGGGAAUUUGAGGGGAUUUGUUUUAGCAUUGGGGAAGGAUAAUUUUAAUUUUGGCGGGAGGUUUGGUUGGGAAAUUGGAUGGCGCGCGCGUGAAGUUUGCGCGGGAAUCUUGAAGGCCUUUGCGGAGGGCUGAUCGCGAGUUUGCCGCGUGGACAAUAAUUGGCCGUACGCGUGGAUGUAUCGGUUGGGCACGUGGAUCCAGGUGGAUCCCGUUAUUUCGACUUGUGCGGCUACGGGCGUCAUGAACUGAGCAAAAGCUUGACUUGAGAAGAGAUGGAAUUAGCUCGACUCCUAGCUAAGUAAACCAAGCUUGGACAAACUAAUUUGAAGCUAAGCUAAAACUUGGUCCACUUCAACCAAGGUCGGCCCGAUCAGACCAAUAUAUUUAUAUAUUUUAUAUGACAUAGAUAAUAGACCAUGCAUUUAAUGAAAUAAUUAGUACAUCUUUUUAUCCUUUUAAUCAUUUAAUUCUUCAUUUAAGUUUGAAUCAAGCUCUAAAUCAAGCUUCAUUCGGCAUUUAAUUUAAGUUUAAACCGAGCUUGAAUCAAGAUUGGAUUAAUUUGAGAUCAAUUUAGGGCUAUCAAGUUGAUUGAUUAGGCUCAUAUUAGGCCUACUUCAAAAGUAAGCAUGAAUUGAGCUUGAAAAAAUGGUAAAAAAACAAGCUUGUUCCAAAGGGUUCCAACUUCAAAUUAAUUUUAACCUAAGUAUUAUUAGACCCAUGCUCAAUUAAGCUUAAUUCGAUUACACCCGACUAAUUACACCAUAUUCCAACCUACAAUGUAUAUUUAAAAGGCCAAUUGGAUUGGAGCCAUGUGAGCAAUCUGAAUGGGCUGAAGGAAAUGAUUGGAAACUCAACUAAUUAAACUACCAUGUAACGUUUAACAGACCGACGACAUCUAAAUAGUGUUAGCCAAAUCGGGUUGAGGAAUCAUUUGAAGUGCAGAUCAAGUUUUAAAAGAUGGAAAGCAUAGGCCAAGUGAAGGUAGCCUAUCCAAAAGGCUAAGGCCCUGUUUGGGUGAGCUGUUAGUAGUAGAACUUUUAGAAGUAGAACUAUUAUAAGUAGAGCUGUCUGAAGCAGAGCGUUUAUAAAAAGCUGUUUGCUGUUUGGUAAAUAUAUUUCUAAAGUGCUGUGGUACUUUAACAUGUGUUUGGUAAACAAACUGAGAAAGUACUUUUGCAUGACAAAAUGACCAUAAAGGACAUUACCAGUAUCAUACAAUAGAACAUAAUAAAAUAUAAUAUAUAUUAAUACAUAAAUAUAUGAUAUAGUAUAAUAUUAAUGUAAUGUAAUAUAAUAUUAUAUUUAUAGUAUAAUACAAUAAUAAAUAUAUAAAUAUUAUAAUUAUUAGUGUAAAUUAAUUUUUCAUCCUUCUAAUGACCAUUUAUUUCUCUAACAAAUUUUCUAGCUAGGUAAUAAAAUUGGUUAAAUAAUUACUAAUUUAUUUAUUUAUUUAUUUUAUUUGUUAUUUAUUUAUUUAUUAUUUUAUUUCAUUGAAAUAUAGAGAGGUCGCCAGCCAUAUGUGGUGGCUGGCAUGGUGGCUGCCACUGUGGGCAACCACGAGCUCCCAAAACAAAAAAAAAAGAAAAAAAAAGAAAGCAGAAGAAGGAACAGAGGUGGCGGCGUUGAGAGGAAGAAGAAGAUAGAGAGGGAAAGGGAGGGGAUGGGUGAGAGAGGAAGAGGCACGAUGAGGAUUUUGGGAAAAAAAAGUGAGAUUUAAAUAGGGAUAUUUUGGUACAAAAAACAGCUUUCCGACAAAGCUGAAAACAGCGUUUUCGGAAAGCUCCAAAUUGGAGCUUCUCCCCAAAAGCUGUUUUCAGCUUCCGCAAAAGCUGAAACAGUUUUCCGAAAAUUUUAUCAAAUACCAUAUUUUAUCUAAAAAUACUUUUGGAGGGUCAGAAAGCACAUUUUUUAUUAAAAAUACUUUUGGAGGGCCAGAAAGUGCUUUCUGGCCCUCCAAAAGCUCCCCCAAACAGUGAAAAGGCUGUGACAUUGAUAUUGAACAUUGGUUAUUACCAAAGAACUAAAAAGUGGAAUGAGCAACUGGAACUGACUAUUGAAACAUCUAAAAGAAACUGGAAGGAUAGGCAGCGACAGGUGUCACACGAAAAAUAUGCAGGUAUCUGGUAAUUAAUAACAAAUUGCAUAAAUAUUAGGAUAUAAUUCAGAGAACAAAUAUUUCGCCAAUCAGAAGUUAUCAGUUUUUCUUGUUUUAUCUUCCAAUUACUUUCAUUUAUCCUACAUUUUAGUUAUUCUUAGUUCAUAAAUCAUAACAUAGUUUCAUAGCCACUGCUCCCUUGUCCAAGAAGAUGCCACUCUAGCAGUAAAAGUCUUGAAGGUCAAAGUCAUAGAUUUCACAACCAUUUGUAUCUCUUUCUAGUUCAGAUAUUGGUGGCAACUCCAUGCAGUCAUCUGACCUUGCCACAAGGUUGGAUCCCCUCUCUAUCCAAUCUUAGGAGAAAAAGGCAUGAACAAGCUCUCAAGCAUGCUUAAUGAGACACAUGUAGCUGCUAAGAUGCUGCUGUGAAGGAGAAACAAAAUUUAACUAUCAGGCAAAACUGUGAGGGAUCAUGACUUCGAGAACCAAAUUUCUCAAGCAGGGUUGAUGUAUCCAUCAGCUAGUCUAUGGUAGGAGAUUGUUUCACAAUUCAGAUUCCACAUGGACAAGAGCUGGCAAAAUCUAUUAGAAGCAUGACAAGCCAUGUGGUCACUGUGCUAAAGCCAUUUGUUGAAUAGCAUGAGUCAUCAUUGACCUUGAUGGAAAAAUAGGUCAAGAGAUUGUCUCCAUGCUAUCCAGCCAAUAUGAAAUACCACAACAUACAUUGAUAUAUCUCGUAGUUAAUUUGGUUGAUAACAAUGCUUGUGCGGUGUAAGUCGGUCGAUUAGCAAUUACCAUAUAGAAGUGCCAGGAUUUUAGAAACACCUGGCCUCUACAAGUUCACGACUUAUAAAAGGAGUAAGCUGAGUAUUGGCCUGAUGAGAAUCUAGGAUCGAUUGGUCUAAAGAUGGAGACAAGGAGGAGGGGUGAAUCUAGGAUCGAUUAGUCAGACCGAGCAUGAUGCUACUGAUGUUUCGAUGAAUGCCAAGUUGAUUCUUGAUUCCAUGAUGAAUUUUAGCCACCUUGAUCAAUGGAUGUAUGCGAGAAGAAAUCAUGCUAGUGGAGUCAUAUAGACACAAACUUCUGCACUAGAGAUUGGGUGUGCCCAAUGGUAACGUGUAGAGGGGCAAUAGCUUAAUCAGUCCAUGAUGUAGACUUCCCCAAUUCCAAGCACUGAGGGGCAUCAACUCCAAAGGAUACUACCACUUCUUCGUUAGUAGCUAUGCAUACUAAAUACAUAUGUCAAGGGACAACCUCAAACCAAUAUUGGCUAGAAUUCAUCCUAUUGAGGGAAAUUUGAGUGCUAUAAACAUUUUCUAUUUAGUCAUCUACAAAUAGAGAUUCUUAUGAAGAGGACAACAAAUGGAAACAUUCAAAACAAAUCUAUAGAAGGCUUAUUUAUAGAGCUUAUUUAGUGAAUACUAAAAGCUCUUGGACAACACAUGGGUCAUGUAACCAGUCCGAUCGCCUAUGAAAGCAAAGUGUGUGGCACCUACCUAGAGAAUUGAAAAAGUAUAUUGAAUGUGCCUUAAAUAGGGUGAUAAUGAAGUCUCCAUAGAUAUAAGAAGCCUAUCAAUCGAAACAAUAUCAUAGUUGCAGGAAUGUUUAUUGAUUCAGAUAUGACCGAUUGAUUACCAAGGUUGUGCCCAUCAACCUUCUAACCAUUAGCUGAUGAAAUGUGGGGAGUAUUGUUUACACCACAUUUUAAACUACAAUAUAAAUUCAAAAGGCCGACUAGAUGGGGGCCCUGUGGAUAGGCCGAAUUAGCUAAAGGAAAUAAUUGGAAACUCAAUUAAACUACCAUGCGAAGCUUAAUAGGCCAUGCAACAUCUAAAGAGCAUCAGUCGAAUGAAAUUGAGGAAUCGCCUGAAAUGCAGAUUAAGCUUUCAAAAAUUCAAAGUAUACACGGAGUAAAAGUGGCCUAUUCAAAAAAGGCUAAGUCAAAAAUUGAGACCAAUCAAGUUUUGUGUCUUCUGUAAAUUGAGACCAAUCAGGUUUUGCAUCUUCUGUAGUUUAAGCCAUCAGCCUAGCAAAAAGGCUAUGAUAUAAAUAUAGAAUGUGGAUAGUUACAAAGGAAAUAAGAUGUGGAAAGUGGAACAAACAAUCGAAACUAACUAUUGAAACCACCAAGAGAAGUAGAGGAUAGGUAGUGAUAGGUGUCAACAUAGAAAGCAAAUGAUUGUCUCAGAAAACAAGUCUUUCGUCAAUCAGAAGCAAUUAGUUCCUUUACUUUAUCUUCCAAUUAUUUUCAUUUAUCCCAAUUUUGAGUUAUUCUUAGUCCAUAGAUUAUAGCAUAGUUGCAUAGCCACCACUUCUUUUUCUCAAAAGGUGACAUCUUAAGAAUGAAAGUCCUUGAAGGUCAAGGCAGUAUGGCCCAUUAUCAUUCUCAUCUCUUUCUAAUCAGACACUAUGGUGCACUCAUGCAGACAACCGACCUCCUUGUAGGCUUAGAUCCCCUCUCCAUCCUAUCUUUGGAGAUGAAGGUGCGAACAUCUACAUACAAAAAGAUGCAAAAAUUUCAGAGAGAGAAUAUUCCAUGGUUUUAGAUAAAAAUAUUUAUUUUUUUCCCAAUUAUCUUCCAAGAUUUCUAUAUGCCAGGUGAACCCUCACUAUUUUUAUCAGAAAAUGCUUCAUCUCACCCAAAAAUAAUGUUUAGGACCACCAACACAAAUUUGAGCCAGAUCCUACCCAAAUAUGUUUGUUGGGAGAGGAAGGAUUGGAGUUCGAUCCAAAUUUUUUGAGAUGUCCUACGAAACUAAGGAGCAUGACCAUUGACACAGGCCCUAUGCUGAUCUAAUACAAGUUAAAAAAAUAAAGGUUAGUACAAUAUUUUGGCACCAACACUCCAAAUAUAUAUAGGUAUAGCAUGGCUGACUGAAUCUUGGUUAUAUUUGAUUGUAUGAUAUAGGAGGAUAUUAGAGGAUUGAACUUUAUGAACGCAAUACAUCUUAGCUUAGGUUGAUCCGAUUGGGAGGAGAAAGAUAUUUUCUCUAAUAAUAAAAUCUAUACCUAUACUAAUAUAAGAGUACAUAUAAUUUUUGUUCAUGAGCAUUAACAGCUCUUCAGUCUCCCUAAAUAAAUCUUGGUCAUCAAUACAACAACCCAGGCCAUAUAUAUGCUUUCCUAGCUCAAUAGAGAUUCUUAAGGACUUCUGUUUUAGACCUAAAAUCCUACCCUCAUGGGUCAUAGUGACAUUCUCAAACAUUUCUUAAUUGCCCCAUGCACCUCCCCAUCAUCCCCUCGUCUCGCACGCUUAUCAAUGUGACCGAAAGCGAGAAGACAGGCCAUAGGAGGUUAAUUGGCAUUCAAGAUCGAUGUAACUCCGGACUAGACCUCUCCAUGAGGGUCCGCCCGCUUAAGCUUGAAGCUUUUUGGAUGGGCUUGGACUAAAAGUUUUAUAUUUAGUAGGUUGGGCUUAGAAAGUAAGCCUUAUUAAACGGGCUGGACUUGAGCUCGGGUAUUAAAGCCCAACACAAGCCCGGCCUGAUCCGAAAUUAAAAAGAUCCAGAUUUUUAUGAUUAAAUACCAGGUUUUAUUGAUACGUUAAUUUAAUAGGAAAAGAUCUAGAGAGGAUUAAAAUUGAUGAUGGAAAUAUUUAGUUAUUCAUUUUAGACAUUUUAAAGUACUUUUAAGUAUUUUUUUAGUAUUGCCCCGUAAUUAAGAAAAAGCCUUUGGCUAGAAGCCCAAACAAAGGCUGAGAUGAGCUUGGACCGGAAAGUAGGCUCGAAGAUUGGACCGGACUAAACCUGAGCUUAAGUAAAUUGUGUUAACCAUUGCGCAAAAUCUUAUCUGCCUCAACCUAUGAAUAGACUUACUCGGAACCUUAAUAAUUAAGAGACGAGGAGCCAAGUGUUGUAUCUAAUAAUCUUUCUCUAAAGAUCGAUGUGAAGCUCAUCAAAUUAGAAAAGAUCAGAAUUCCUCUUCUGUUUAUGAGUCAUAUGAGAUCAAAUGCAUCAUAUGCAUCCAGCCUCCGUUUGAGAGAAAUUUACGGUUAUAUCUUAUUAUUUUGAGAUUUUUUAUUUAUCAUCAUAUCGUAUACUUGACAUUGCGAUGCACAUGCAUCAUGAACUGCUAUGCAAAUACUGAAGUCAGCACUAUAAGAAGUCUUUGCGUGACUUAGUUUGCAGUAGGUUCUUUGUUUAUGACUUUGAUUUUCUACUAGUUCAAUCUAAUUUUGCUAGCUCUUUCACUCCAAGCAGCCAUAACUUCCUCGCCUUUCUUCCUCCAACUUUUCCAACAUCCAAUCUCCCCAUCAAUUAGAGCCUAAUUUCGGUCAAAAAGAAUUCGUUAUCAACAAAGAACAAGUUACGACAGCAUGAUUAAAAGGAACAAGUCAAUUAGACAAAGAAACAUUGACAUGUGAAGAACCUUUGCAACUGAGAAUGGCAAUUUAUGAUCCGAUCUAUCAAUCCAAUCUAUGAACGAUCCACUUUAAACAAGUUUGAGUUUGACAUAACUAGGUUACGAUCAUAAUGGGUCAACCCGUCUAAACUUGUUUAUUAAAUGAGUUGGUUCAAAUUUUAACAUUUGACAUGUUUAACCCAUUUUGAUUUGUUUAAUAAUUAGGUCAGAUUAUAAUGUGAUCCGUUUAAUUCUAUUUAAAUCUAUUUAAUCCGUUAAAAAUUUAUCUAACCCGUUUAACCUAUUUAAUAAAUGAGUUACAUGAGCCAAAUCAGGUUAUAUAUUUAAUAAAAAGAACAUAUUUGGAUUUGAAAGUUUGACCCAUUUAAUAAACACGUCAGACUUGGGUUGAUAAAUUUUUGACUCUAUGCACAUUCAAUCCGAUCCGACUCGAUUGCGCCCUCCAUUCGCAACCCUCAAAAUCUCCAAAUGCCAAAAUAGCCUUCUACGGUUCGUUCCGUCCCACAAAACGGAACCCCGGAAGUCCACAGGAAAGGAAGCAAGAAAGCGGAGCCCCCCACGCCUCCCCUAUCCCACUCCCUUCCAAACCCCGUCCGGCCACUAAAAUCCCCAAUCCAAAAAUAUAUCGGAACUCCCUCAAACAC